Cephus cinctus (wheat stem sawfly) is the source of this 1217-nucleotide long non-coding RNA. RefSeq lists it as uncharacterized. The transcript has 3 exons. The record is from RefSeq and is a predicted model, not a curated record. NCBI's taxonomy places the organism in Eukaryota, Metazoa, Arthropoda, Insecta, Hymenoptera, Cephidae.
UCCGCGCGCAAUGUCAUGGUGGCGCGAAACAAGCCCUUAAUAUGGCGUCCCUUCCGGGUGUUGGCCGGCUCUUUCUAAAGGGACUCUACUUCUCACUGCACACGCGCGCACUAUGUCAUAACAACGAUUGCCUCCAAUCGAAUUUCUUCAGUCAUCCUGUAUUUCGCGUUUCUGGCACAUCUCCUCAUUGGAGGAGUCAGCCAUAAGUAAAGGAAGGAAGGUAUUUCGCGUUUCGCGUUAGAUUGGUUAGGUUUUGUUAGGUCAGUAAAAUUGUGCAUUUGCGCAAUGAGGGGAACUGGCCUGAACUGAACGUAACGAAGUGAGAAAGAGAUAUAUCUCUGUUUCAACAUGUUGAGACUACUUUUAAAACACGAUUCCUCUUCCAGGAAUACCGUGACAGACAGGAGUGUAUGUACGUACCGGACGAACGCUGUGACCGUAGUUUGACACCUCAUUUCGGCAUUGAAAGGAAUAAUCAGUGUAAAUAAAUGAUUAACAAGUUAACAGUUUAUAUAGAUUAUCGGUAUCGUAAGCUUCACCGUAUGUCUUUAACGUAGUUGAUAGUGUUUGUCCAUAGGCAACUGAGAACUUCCUGAUCUUGUACAAUUGUACGUACAUCAUAAUACAAAAAUUAAAUUAUACAAACUUACCUCUAAUAACGGAAUGAGUAGAUGAAUUUUAGAAAAAUUAGGCGCAUGUGAAUUUAUUUAAAUUAUUUUUACGAGGAUAUAUUAUAAAUAAUAACUAUGCACGGUACGUUCCAAAAUGUACUAUAAGUACUACGAGUAUUGUGACUCAUCCAUUGCAUGCAGCUGAACAGGGAACACUGCGAUCAUGUUGCGAUGAAUGAUAUCAUCAGAAUAUGAUGUGAUUCUCAUCAUUACAAUAUAAGUAAAGAAGUUGCUUAUCCAUUCGUGCAUAACAGUGCGUAAUGAAUUUCAAGUGCGUUAUUUACAUAUAUUUGACAAGGAAACGUUUUUGGUAAUGACGACUUCAAAAAUAAGAGACAAGGUUAAGACUUGAUUUGUUUUAUGAAAAUAAAAUUAUGUACCAAUGUGAUUAGAAACGAAAUGUCCAUAGGUACCCUAUCCACACUAUCGAGUUUCACCGUAUUUAUUAAUUCUUUGUACAACGAGCUCCGUUAUGAAAAGUAACUAUUCGUUACGAAUUAAUAUAACUAAUGGUAAACGGUAAAAAUAUAUUAUAAUAAUGUAAAA